This 301-nucleotide ribosomal RNA is filed under the name uncultured bacterium. RNAcentral describes it as "partial 16S ribosomal RNA". It matches the Rfam family "Bacterial small subunit ribosomal RNA", at positions 509 to 809 of the family's 1533-position model. The record is from RNAcentral.
CAGCCGCCACGGUAAUACGUAGGUGGCAAGCGUUGUCCGGAAUUAUUGGGCGUAAAGGGCUCGCAGGCGGUUUCUUAAGUCUGAUGUGAAAGCCCCCGGCUCAACCGGGGAGGGUCAUUGGAAACUGGGAAACUUGAGUGCAGAAGAGGAGAGUGGAAUUCCACGUGUAGCGGUGAAAUGCGUAGAGAUGUGGAGGAACACCAGUGGCGAAGGCGACUCUCUGGUCUGUAACUGACGCUGAGGAGCGAAAGCGUGGGGAGCAAACAGGAUUAGAUACCCGGGUAGUCCCUGUCUCUUAUAA